Ictalurus punctatus (channel catfish) is the source of this 757-nucleotide long non-coding RNA. RefSeq lists it as uncharacterized. The transcript has 2 exons. Lineage: Eukaryota; Metazoa; Chordata; Actinopteri; Siluriformes; Ictaluridae. The record is from RefSeq and is a predicted model, not a curated record.
AUCUCUAUUUGGUGUUCUGUCUCUCUCUCUCUCUCUCUCUCUCUCUCUCUCUCUCUCUCUCUCUUUCUCUCUCUCUUUCUCUCUCUGUUUUCCUUUUGUGUUUUUGGGUUUGUGUGUGUGUGUGUGUGUGUGUUGUGUGCUGGCUUCCUGUUGGAGGGGAAGUGCCCCACCCGUCCGUGUCGGUCCCUGUUGGUUGGUGUGUCAGGGGGAAACAGUGAUUUGGGGAGCGAUAGGGAGGCUGAGGGACAGAUAGAGGGAGCGCGGGACAGGGGUAAAGGAGAAGCGCUGUGGGACAGGGGGCGGGGUGGGGACUGAGGGCGGGGCUCGCACACAGGAAAUGUAGCAGCUAAAUAAAGCAAGUGGGGAUGAAGAGGGCGAGGGGACGGAGGUGCAGAGCGGCGAAGAACACGCUGAGGACGACACGGGACAGAGAGAUGAUAAAGUCAAGAGGAAACUCUCUGUCCAUCGGCGCGUUCCGUCCAGCGUCCUCUCCCAUCCUCUCCUCUCGUCUCCUCGUCCUCUCCCAAUCCUUGUACCAGUGUCUGGUCUGGUUGUGACGCUGGACAGGGUUUGGGGGGGGACGAGCAAGGACACGUGUGCAUCAUUUACAGAGACGGUUAAACUCAGCAAUCUUCCUAGAAAAACGUCCUGUAUAUAUAAUGUGAUGGUUGUAAAAUAAAGCUUUGUAAUCUACACAGUGUGUUCUCUGUUAAUAAACUAUUAAACUAUUAUUAUUCAAAUAGAAACCAUUCCCAUA